ACUCAAAUGAAUUGACGGGGGCCCGCACAAGCGGUGGAGCAUGUGGUUUAAUUCGAUGCAACGCGAAGAACCUUACCAAGGCUUGACAUCUGGAGAACCUGGCUGAAAGGCCGGGGUGCCGCAAGGAACUCCAAGACAGGUGGUGCAUGGCUGUCGUCAGCUCGUGUCGUGAGAUGUUGGGUUAAGUCCCGCAACGAGCGCAACCCUCGAUGUCAGUUGCCAACAGGUUAAGCUGGGCACUCUGGCGUGACUGCCGGUGACAAACCGGAGGAAGGUGGGGAUGACGUCAAGUCAUCAUGCCCCUUAUGCCUUGGGCUACACACGUGCUACAAUGGUCGGGACAGAGGGCUGCAAGACCGCGAGGUGGAGCCAAUCCCUAAACCCGGCCUCAGUUCAGAUUGCAGGCUGCAACUCGCCUGCAUGAAGGCGGAAUCGCUAGUAACCGCAGGUCAGCAUACUGCGGUGAAUACGUUCCCGGGCCUUGUACACACCGCCCGU
RNAcentral lists this ribosomal RNA (498 nucleotides) under uncultured bacterium. RNAcentral describes it as "partial 16S ribosomal RNA". It matches the Rfam family "Bacterial small subunit ribosomal RNA", at positions 899 to 1397 of the family's 1533-position model. The record is from RNAcentral.